CAAGAAUGGCAUCUAAAAACUAUCAACCAGUGGAGAGAUGGGCACACUCCACAGUAAAGGUAGGAGACUACCUAUAUAUGUGGGGUGGGGCCGCGUUUAGAGUACACUAUGAUGUGAUGGAGGUGUAUCACUUACCAACUGGUGCUUGGGACCAGAAACCUACUACUGGUACCCCACCACCAGGUACCUGGGGCUAUUCAUCAGUUGCUAUUGGGAAGGACAUAUAUUAUUUUGGUGGAGAUGAUGGUGGUGGUUAUCAAAACAGCUUACAAUGUUUCAAUGUGGAUUCAUUGAAGUGGAAAAAACUCUCUCCUUCUAGUUCUGAUUAUAGUCCAAUGAAGAAGGCCUACUGUGGAAUAAUAUCAGUUCAUUUUGAUGGUGAAGACUUUCUUAUAAUAAUUGGAGGAAUUGGAUCAUUUUAUAUCGAUACUCCAAAGCAACCUGAUGCUCAGCAUUCAGCUACUGGUAGAUGUAAUGAGAUACAUUAUUACAAGAUUUCAUCAGACUCUCUUUUCUCUGAAGAGCCAUUUGAAGUGCUUUUAUAUUCUGUCAUUCAACCAUAAUUAAUAAAAACUUGAAGAUUUAUGUGUGUUUUCUUGAAUUUUCUCUGCUGAUGAAGUGUCUUGACAAGAGAUCUGUCCGUAAGAUUGGCUAAGAUAUUGUGCACACAUGGGUGUGACCAGAAUAGGCGUGACU
RNAcentral lists this unclassified non-coding RNA (696 nucleotides) under Amphimedon queenslandica. Its description in RNAcentral is "rab9 effector protein with kelch motifs-like, transcript variant X2". The record is from RNAcentral. Lineage: Eukaryota; Metazoa; Porifera; Demospongiae; Haplosclerida; Niphatidae.